This 427-nucleotide ribosomal RNA is filed under the name uncultured bacterium. RNAcentral's name for it is "partial 16S ribosomal RNA". It matches the Rfam family "Bacterial small subunit ribosomal RNA", at positions 355 to 774 of the family's 1533-position model. The record is from RNAcentral.
UGGGGAAUAUUGCACAAUGGGCGCAAGCCUGAUGCAGCCAUGCCGCGUGUAUGAAGAAGGCCUUCGGGUUGUAAAGUACUUUCAGCGGGGAGGAAGGCGAUAAGGUUAAUAAGCUUGUCGAUUGACGUUACCCGCAGAAGAAGCACCGGCUAACUCCGUGCCAGCAGCCGCGGUAAUACGGAGGGUGCAAGCGUUAAUCGGAAUUACUGGGCGAAAAGCGCACGCAGGCGGUCUGUCAAGUCGGAUGUGAAAUCCCCGGGCUCAACCUGGGAACUGCAUUCGAAACUGGCAGGCUAGAGUCUUGUAGAGGGGGGUAGAAUUCCAGGUGUAGCGGUGAAAUGCGUAGAGAUCUGGAGGAAUACCGGUGGCGAAGGCGGCCCCCUGGACAAAGACUGACGCUCAGGUGCGAAAGCGUGGGGAGCAAACA